UGAAAUCUACAGUCCUUCCCUGUAAAUAAGAGAAAGAAAACUAAUAUUUAACUUCAGACCUCAAAACCAAUGAUGACUGAUGGGAGCUUUUACUCACAAACAACAUGAUAUCAACAAGAAACACUGAGAAAGCACAUGAACUAAUGUAAGAAGCUCCCAGUAACAGUUGGUGUAAGAGUUAAGAACAAAAGUAAGUUUCUUCAUUGGAAUCCAGUAAAACAAAAGUAAGUUUCCUCAUUGGAAUCCAGUAAAGUGAGAAUAGCCUCAAUUCUGCAUCUUCUUUAAGACUUUGUCCAUCCAAUCAUAUAAAUAAACAUGCACAUGUGUUUAGCGGUUUAGCAAUGAUUUCAACGCGAUAUCUAGUUUGACAUUAAUGGCUAUCCUUUAUAAGUGGACAAUCAUUCCAAGACCAAUCCAAAAGAAAGCAUAACAUAUAAAAGGUGAAUAGUCAGUAAAUGAAAAUCAACAUCAAGUGUUUUCAAGAGCUCUCUUUAGCUGUGUUCUUUGCAAUUACAACUGAACUUAUAACAAUUAGCAAGUGAUUCUAAAGAAGUGAUUAAGUCUAAAGGUUAAGUGAUUCUACAGAAGUAAUGCAAUAACAAUUAACAAGUGAUUAAGUCUAAAGGAAAUCAAGCACAUAAAUUUGAGCUUCCAUUGAUUCAAGCGAUUAAGUCUAAAGGAAUCAAGAACAUAGAGAGCAAAGCUAGUUUUAAUGUAGGAGUUGGGCAUUGAACUUGACAUUGACUACGAGCAUAUGAUUUUUAAUCUAACAAAUACGCAUAAGACUAAUCACACACAGUAUACACAGGACGAGACAAAAUAUAAAUA
Molecule: unclassified non-coding RNA, 828 nt
Filed under: Hevea brasiliensis (rubber tree)
Lineage: Eukaryota; Viridiplantae; Streptophyta; Magnoliopsida; Malpighiales; Euphorbiaceae
Source: RNAcentral